RNAcentral lists this ribosomal RNA (253 nucleotides) under uncultured bacterium. Its description in RNAcentral is "partial 16S ribosomal RNA". It matches the Rfam family "Bacterial small subunit ribosomal RNA", at positions 524 to 776 of the family's 1533-position model. The record is from RNAcentral.
UACGUAGGCAGCGAGCGUUGUUCGGAAUUAUUGGGCGUAAAGCGUACGUAGGCGGUGUCUUAAGUUUGUUGUGAAAUCUCCCGGCUUAACCGGGAGGGUGCGGCGAAUACUGAGAUGCUGGAGUGCCGGAGAGGUAAGCGGAAUUCCUGGUAUAGCGGUGAAAUGCGUAGAUAUCAGGAGGAACACCUGCGGUGUAGACGGCUUACUGGACGGUAACUGACGCUGAGGCACGAAAGCGUGGGUAGCAAACAGG